AAGGUCUUAAAUUGAACUUACUGAAACKUGCACGAACCCUGAACAUCUGAAGAAAUAAAAUCUGUUAGCCUGAAUUUUAAAGCAGGUAUGAAGCUGACUUUACACAAACUGAUGCAGUUUGAUAUUUUACCACCAGAGGGCGCUGUCUACCCAGCUGUCACAUUACCAUGAGGCCACAGUUUCAUUGCUAACAGUYAUGACUGAGCCUCUAUCAGCCCAUUAACAGACCAGAGCCUCUGCUGCACUUCUUCUGGUGUCCACCUCUUGUCCAGAGGACAUUCUGUGUGGCGUACAGCAGUCCCUGCAGCUCUCUUUCUUUKUUUAUUUAGUUCUUUAGACAUUCAUGGUGAACCUUGGUGAGUUCUUUAGUUCUAAAUYAGUAAACAGACUAAACUGUAACAUUUCUGCAGAAAUGUUGACAGAUGCCAUAGCAGCUGUUCCCUUUGUGUUACCUGCUUUUGUGUGCAUGCUCCAGGGCUGGAGCUGGUUCUUAACGGGUCCAAGUCUGGUUCUCCACAGGCAGAGAGCUGACUGAGAGCUACAUCAUUACAUCACGUUAAAGUUGUAGUGUGAGCUUGUGUGGAGGAUCAAAGAUGUUUAGGGUUUGAGUCAUUAUUCCUGUAAACAGGUYUCUGAUGUGGUAGGAAAUCCUCCAGAGAAAACCCACACAUGCACAGAGAGAACAUCCAGACUCCACACAGAAAGGCUGCAGCCUCAUUCUGAACCUGCGGCCUUCUCGUUGUGAGACGUCAGCUGUAAUCACUGCUCCAUCGUUUGUAACUGCCCACUGCUCCAUCGUUUGUAACUGCCCACUCUGUGAAUAAUGCCUACAUUUGAUCUACGAGUGAAACCAAGAUCAAACUACUGGUAAAGCUUCUGCCAGUGGCUCAUUAUGGUCACCACGGUAACCACGCACCCUUGUCUGUCACUCCCUGACAGCCAUGUUAAUGAGUGACAGACAGAAAGACGGACUGAAAAUUAAGCCCAAUUCAACAGAAAUCAUUUGAACUGUGAACAGCAGAUGACUGACGAGAUUUGUUCUACAACUUCACUUCUAAUGAAGUUAGGACAUUGUGUGUAAYAUAAAUAAAAACAGAAUACAUUGAUUUACAAACUUUUUUCAACCUAUCUCGACCAAUUUCAUCCAUGUUUUUUUUCUUUUAAGUCUUGCACGGCUGCUGGACCCAGGGCACCUGUUCUCCAAGUCUGUUGUGUUUUGUCUAUAUCUUUUGAACUGAUUGUUCCGAACUAUAAUUUCCCUUCAUGGGAUCAGUAAAGUUUCCAUUCAUUCAUCCAUACAUACAUACA
Austrofundulus limnaeus is the source of this 1308-nucleotide long non-coding RNA. RefSeq lists it as uncharacterized. The transcript is spliced from 2 exons. The record is from RefSeq and is a predicted model, not a curated record. NCBI's taxonomy places the organism in Eukaryota, Metazoa, Chordata, Actinopteri, Cyprinodontiformes, Rivulidae.